GUCCAGGAAUGGGAAUCAAACCCACAGUGUUCCGCUUACCGGGCAGAUGCCAUGUCCACUAGGCUACCCUGGA
RNAcentral lists this transfer RNA (73 nucleotides) under Cordylochernes scorpioides. Its description in RNAcentral is "tRNA-Thr". The record is from RNAcentral. Lineage: Eukaryota; Metazoa; Arthropoda; Arachnida; Pseudoscorpiones; Chernetidae.